AAAAAGAGCCAAAGAGGUAUUAGUACACUGUAAUGAUUUGAUUAGAGAGUUGAAAGGAGGGCACGCACGAGAAAAGCGGAAGAGAGGAAAGAUACGGUAAAAAAAAUAACUGUUGGUGACAGUCAAAAUCAAUCGGUAAAAUACAUGAAAGUUAUGAAAAAUUAAUUAUUACUACAUGCUUCUUCACACACACCAUGGUCUCAGUCUGCAUCUAUCUCAUGGACAUUUCAUAUGACUAUAUCAAUCAAUGUCAACAAUACCCUAAAAAGAACCAAUAUACUACUACUGUCUACAACUUACAGUAUUUAUGAUAUACUUUACUAUUGUUGAUUUUCAUCUAAUUUAUAUUUAUUAAACGAUCAUUGUUGAUUUGGAAUUUAUUUAUUGCUUAUAAAUGCUUCUUGAUUUAGGGGUUAUUCUCAUAACAUUUCCUUAUAUACUAUGAUAUGAUAUGAUAUGAUCAAUUAUUUAAUAAUCCAUGAUGUGAUACUAACAAUUUAAUUUGACCAUUGUACCGUGGAAGGAAUAAUUUUUUAGUAGUAGUUUCUAUUCACAAUUUAAGACGUAUAACUAACAUUCGGUUAUGUGUCAAAAAAAACAUCUAACAUUCGGCUAAAAUGAAAUAGAAAUAUAAAAUAGGAUAUGGAAUUAGUUAUUGCAUUAAUAAAUUAGUAGUUCUUUUUAUUAUUAGUAUCCGGUUUAUUGGACUGUUUAAUUUGGUCUGGUUCAUGGAUCAGUUUUGACAUCAAUUGUUUCAGCCUCCUCAUGAUCGCAGUUGCAGGAAAUCAAACUGUAAUCUUCCAUAUCAAGUUCAGCGUCAAUUACUACCACACUAACUAACGAUUUAUUAUUAAUAGUUAUUUUUACUAUCAACGUUGCGUUCUCUAUUUCUUUAUUGAUAAUGUAUGUAUUAAUUAAUCAUGGAAAAAAACAAAUAGCAAAUAUAAAGAAUGCCUUAUACUUAAGUACGAAAAUACUACUAUUAAUCAACAUUAUUGUUUUGAAUUAACAUUAUUUUCUUAGUUCUUUAACCCCUCCUCUCAAAUAGUAAGCCCAUAUUUUCUUGAUUUGAUGAAAAAAGCCCAUCCUCUUUGAUGGAAAAUGUGAAAAUACUACUCCCAUACUAGUUCAAAAUGUAUUUUGUAAAAAAAAAAAAAUUAUAAUUAAGCAAAGUAUGUUGUAAAUUUUUUUUGUGAAGAUGUGCAAGCUAUUUUUACCAUAUGUGAUAUUUUUACUAUGUCCUACUAGUUGCACAACAUAGUAGUACUAACUAGUAGUAUUAAUUAUGGAAAUGAAAAACCAUGAAAAUAUAGUAAUUGUGUUACUUGAAGCAAAAGUGAUUAUGAAGGUAGGAGUAGUACUAGUAAUCUUGAAAGUCACUCAAAACACUAUUUUAGGGAGUGCUAUCUAUGUGUCUGUGAUAUCACACACACACACACACGCAUGUCUGUGAAAGGCUCAGGGUUUUGAAUUGAAGAAAUAUAAAAAAAGAUCAUGGGAAAAGCAAAAGCAUGAUUAUAAUUUGUAGGUGCAGUAGCAGAGAAGAGAAGAGAGGAGGAUUAUGAUGAAUGAUCAUCUCAUGCUAUGACCACAGGCAGGCAGGCUGGGGAAUCUCAUAUGCAAAAAGGAAUUGGACCACUUUGUUCUCUCUCUCUCUCUCUCUCUCUCUCUAUUUUCAAUUGGUUUUGAGGGAAUAUGUUAUACGGUCAAAGCAGCUCUAAAGCUUACUAAAGGACAUUAUGCCCUUCAGCCUUUUCCUUUUCUCAAUGGGACCACCAUCCCCUAACAUACUAACACCUCUUUCUUUCUUGUGUUUCUUCUCAUAUCAUUUCUAUGAUUUUC
This 1842-nucleotide long non-coding RNA is filed under the name Trifolium pratense (red clover). Its description in RNAcentral is "long non-coding RNA (TPRA_LNC000267)". The record is from RNAcentral. Lineage: Eukaryota; Viridiplantae; Streptophyta; Magnoliopsida; Fabales; Fabaceae.